Molecule: ribosomal RNA, 478 nt
Filed under: uncultured bacterium
Lineage: Bacteria
Description: partial 16S ribosomal RNA
Rfam family: Bacterial small subunit ribosomal RNA
Source: RNAcentral
GACGAACGCUGGCGGCGUGCUUAACACAUGCAAGUCGAACGGUAAGGCCCUUCGGGGUACACAAGUGGCGAACGGGUGAGUAACACGUGGGUGAUCUGCCCUGCACUUCGGGAUAAGCCUGGGAAACUGGGUCUAAUACCGGAUAGGACGACUGCCUGCAUGGGUGGUGGGGGAAAGCUUUUGCGGUGUGGGAUGGGCCCGCGGCCUAUCAGGUUGUUGGGGGGGUGAUGGCCUACCAAGGCGACGAAGGGUAGCCGGCCUGAGAGGGUGACCGGCCCCACUGGGACUGAGAUACGGCCCAGACUCCUACGGGAGGCAGCAGUGGGGAAUAUUGCACAAUGGGCGCAAGCCUGAUGCAGCGACGCCGCGUGAGGGAUGACGGCCUUCGGGUUGUAAACCUCUUUCAGCACCGACGAAGCGCAAGUGACGGUAGGUGCAGAAGAAGGACCGGCCAACUACGUGCCAGCCGCCGCCGUAA